CAGGGUCUGACGACUGCCCAAACCAAACCGUGAACCGUUUCCAAAAACACACGAAUGCCUUGGCGGGCCGCUCGCUGGGGGAGCCGUGGGCCGCGCAGGGAGUAAUCCCUCGCGGUGGCUCGCCGAAGGCAUUGCAACUAAACUCUUUUAACAAAACUUUCUGAGUGUUUGAUUUUCCUUACGGAAAUAAAAUCAUCA
This 198-nucleotide unclassified non-coding RNA is filed under the name uncultured fungus. RNAcentral describes it as "sequence contains ITS1". The record is from RNAcentral. Lineage: Eukaryota; Fungi.